AAUGGGGUGUUAAUAUUUCAGAGUAAAGUUAUUUUAACCCAGAUAGAGUAUUUUCAACAUUUUUGAGAGUAAAGUUGCUCUAUCAGUGGAGUUAAAAGUGAGUGUAAAAAUCUGCAGAUACGCAGUGACAAUUUCAACUCUACAGCAGUGAUGAAUACCCGCCACUCUGCUUUGCUGAAGUUUGGCACGUACGUUGGUGGAGGAAGAUUGCGAAGGAGUAGCUAGGCCACAGAUAUUGCUAGAGGCAAAAUGCUGUUGCGUGUUCAGCUCGGGGAAGAGCAGAAAUACGUCAAGCUGUCUGAGCUGACAUUCAAUGCUUUCUUGAAAGAAGUGUGUCUAAAAUUCAACAUACCAGAAAGCAGAAAGCCAGACAUUAAGGUGUAUGACCAGUCUGACACAGAAGUUGACUCAGAUGUUUUUGAAGAAUUAGUAAAGGAGUCACCUGGAACUUUCAGAAUCAUGCUGGGCAAUGGACUUGAUACCUCUCAUUCAUCAUCAUGCUCGGGUACAUCUGAUGACACCAUCAUUCUGAAUUUCACUGUGUGUGACGAUGUUGAAGAAGUAGCGGCUGGCGAAGGGAAGCCAGCCUAAA
This is a long non-coding RNA of Coregonus clupeaformis (lake whitefish), 592 nucleotides long. RefSeq lists it as uncharacterized. Lineage: Eukaryota; Metazoa; Chordata; Actinopteri; Salmoniformes; Salmonidae. The transcript is spliced from 4 exons. The record is from RefSeq and is a predicted model, not a curated record.